GUGCCAGCAGCCGCGGUAAUACAGAGGGUGCGAGCGUUAAUCGGAUUUACUGGGCGUAAAGGGCGCGUAGGCGGUUAUAUUAGUGUGAUGUGAAAGCCCUGGGCUUAACCUAGGAAGUGCAUCGCAAACGGUAUAGCUAGAGUAUAAGAGAGGGUGAUGGAAUUUCCGGUGUAGCGGUGAAAUGCGUAGAGAUCGGAAGGAACGUCAAUGGCGAAGGCAGUCACCUGGCUUAAUACUGACGCUGAGGCGCGAAAGCGUGGGGAGCGAACAGGAUUAGAUACCCUGGUAGUCC
RNAcentral lists this ribosomal RNA (292 nucleotides) under uncultured bacterium. RNAcentral describes it as "partial 16S ribosomal RNA". It matches the Rfam family "Bacterial small subunit ribosomal RNA", at positions 505 to 796 of the family's 1533-position model. The record is from RNAcentral.